AACCUGCUGUACUAUUGUUCCUAAUAAGAUAUUAAUAUGAAUAAAAAGAGGAGGUACAGUAAAUGCACCCCAUAUACACCUCAACCCAGGCCCUUUGCCUGGUCUGUAUUGUGAAUUGGGGGACAAAA
This is a small nucleolar RNA of Suncus etruscus (white-toothed pygmy shrew), 128 nucleotides long. RefSeq annotates it as small nucleolar RNA SNORA51. The transcript has a single exon. NCBI's taxonomy places the organism in Eukaryota, Metazoa, Chordata, Mammalia, Eulipotyphla, Soricidae. The record is from RefSeq and is a predicted model, not a curated record.